AGCAGCCGCCGCGGGAAUACGUAGGUCCCGAGCGUUGUCCGGAUUUAUUGGGCGUAAAGCGAGCGCAGGCGGUUAGAUAAGUCUGAAGUUAAAGGCUGUGGCUUAACCAUAGUACGCUUUGGAAACUGUUUAACUUGAGUGCAAGAGGGGAGAGUGGAAUUCCAUGUGUAGCGGUGAAAUGCGUAGAUAUAUGGAGGAACACCGGUGGCGAAAGCGGCUCUCUGGCUUGUAACUGACGCUGAGGCUCGAAAGCGUGGGAGCAGACAGGAUUAGAUACCCCAGUAGUCCCUGUCUCUUAUACAC
This 303-nucleotide ribosomal RNA is filed under the name uncultured bacterium. RNAcentral's name for it is "partial 16S ribosomal RNA". It matches the Rfam family "Bacterial small subunit ribosomal RNA", at positions 507 to 809 of the family's 1533-position model. The record is from RNAcentral.